This 400-nucleotide ribosomal RNA is filed under the name uncultured bacterium. RNAcentral's name for it is "bacterial SSU rRNA". It matches the Rfam family "Bacterial small subunit ribosomal RNA", at positions 355 to 772 of the family's 1533-position model. The record is from RNAcentral.
CGACGAAUCUUCCGCAAUGGGCGAAAGCCUGACGGAGCGAUGCCGCGUGUGGGAUGAAGCGGCUUUGCCGUGUAAACCACUGUCAGGAGACAGGAAUACUGACCGUCUCCAGAGGAAGGGGCGACUAACUCUGUGCCAGCAGUCGCGGUAAUACAGAGGCCCCGAGCGUUAGUCGGAAUCACUGGGCUUAAAGGGUGCGUAGGCGGCUGGAUAAGUGUCGUGUGAAAUCCCACUGCUCAACAGUGGAACUGCACGGCAAACUGUCUGGCUAGAAGUAUGUAGAGGUCGCUAGAACGAUUGGUGGAGCGGUGGAAUGCGUAGAUAUCAAUCGGAAUGCCAAAGGUGAAGACAGGCGACUGGGCAUUACUUGACGCUGAGGCACGAAAGCGUGGGGAGCAAA